AUCUCAAGCAUGGGACUUCUUCUCAGAUUCGUCUACUGAGAUAAACAACUAUGUUCUUGGAGCUGGUGUUGAUGGUCUUGUUACAGAAUACCCUGGGACAGCGGCUAGAUACCGAAGGAACCGUUGUUUAGCAUACAAAAACUUGCCACCAUAUAUGAGCCCUGUUCAACCUGGGAGUCUCCUGGGACUCAUGACUGUUCAGUCUAUGCCACCAGUCGAACCUCCCAGCCCCGUGCUCGAUGUAAGUGAUGUGACUGAGCCACCACUUCCACCUGUUGCAAAGAUAAACCCAAGUAACGACGAUGGUUCUACAGCUAGAGCUCCCACUACUCCUCCAAAUGGCCAAUCCUCAGUUGUUGCUAGCAUUCUCAUGAGCUCAGUCGCAGUUCUUCUAGCAAUUUUCAUGGUAUAUUGAUGACCAUUUCUACUUUGGUGCCACCAUUUUGUACAAUUUGUUUUGCCAUCUUACUGAUCAAACCUCCCUCUGGUGAUUAUGGAGUCGCACAUGAUGGCGGCGGUAGUCAGCUCAUUUAACACAUGAUUGUUUCCUUGUAUUUGCGAUGUAUCAAAAUUUUCAGCUCUUGUUUAUUCUUUACAUUCUUCCUCGUUUCUAUUUUUCAUUCCUUCCCUCCCCUUUUUUUUUCCAUUUUGGGUCAGAUUGAGUGGGUGUCUGGGGUUUAUUGCCUAUUUAUUUGUAAGAAUUCUGUUUUGGAUAUAAGCAAUGAUCAAUUUAGUUAGUAUUUUUCAUACACAGCCUUUUUAUAUUCUAUUCAUGUAAUAUA
This 782-nucleotide unclassified non-coding RNA is filed under the name Hevea brasiliensis (rubber tree). Lineage: Eukaryota; Viridiplantae; Streptophyta; Magnoliopsida; Malpighiales; Euphorbiaceae. The record is from RNAcentral.